Molecule: transfer RNA, 91 nt
Filed under: Biquartavirus 44RR2
Lineage: Duplodnaviria; Heunggongvirae; Uroviricota; Caudoviricetes; Pantevenvirales; Straboviridae
Also listed under: 6 other names
Description: Aeromonas phage 44RR2.8t tRNA
Rfam family: tRNA
About the family: Transfer RNA (tRNA) molecules are approximately 80 nucleotides in length. Their secondary structure includes four short double-helical elements and three loops (D, anti-codon, and T loops).
Source: Rfam by way of RNAcentral
GGAAGCUUGGCAGAGUCUGGCUUAUUGCACUAGUCUUGAAAACUAGCGAUCGUAGGAAUACGGUCCAUCCGUUCAAAUCGGAUAGCUUCCG